This is a transfer RNA of 88 nucleotides. It matches the Rfam family "tRNA". Rfam says of the family: Transfer RNA (tRNA) molecules are approximately 80 nucleotides in length. Their secondary structure includes four short double-helical elements and three loops (D, anti-codon, and T loops).
GGAAGGUAGUCGAAUACGGAUUGUCGGGCCGGUUUGCUAAACCGUGCGGCCACAAUGGCCAUGUGGGUUCGAAUCCCAUGCCUUCCGC